AUGGAGGGGCCAAGCUUCUCGAAGCCGGAUGCCGGCUUAUUAGCUGACAUGCUGGCUGAGCAGACUUCCAGAGGGACCGAGAGACCAUUCUUCGGGAACGAUUCAUCUACCGCGUCAACCAUUGGAGUUAGCCCGGUAUCUAUCCCUGGCAUAUCCAGUUUGCCUCAGAGUGACGGGCUUGCAGGACCAGCCACUAGGACUGAUUCUCAUAUGACUCCUGGCAUCCCUCAAAUGCCUACGGAUGA
Molecule: long non-coding RNA, 245 nt
Organism: Asparagus officinalis (garden asparagus)
Lineage: Eukaryota; Viridiplantae; Streptophyta; Magnoliopsida; Asparagales; Asparagaceae
Exons: 3
Source: RefSeq, a predicted model, not a curated record